Molecule: ribosomal RNA, 497 nt
Filed under: uncultured bacterium
Lineage: Bacteria
Description: partial 16S ribosomal RNA
Rfam family: Bacterial small subunit ribosomal RNA
Source: RNAcentral
GAUGAACGCUGGCGGCGUGCCUAAUACAUGCAAGUCGAGCGAACGGACGAGAAGCUUGCUUCUCUGAUGUUAGCGGCGGACGGGUGAGUAACACGUGGAUAACCUACCUAUAAGACUGGGAUAACUUCGGGAAACCGGAGCUAAUACCGGAUAAUAUUUUGAACCGCAUGGUUCAAAAGUGAAAGACGGUCUUGCUGUCACUUAUAGAUGGAUCCGCGCUGCAUUAGCUAGUUGGUAAGGUAACGGCUUACCAAGGCAACGAUGCAUAGCCGACCUGAGAGGGUGAUCGGCCACACUGGAACUGAGACACGGUCCAGACUCCUACGGGAGGCAGCAGUAGGGAAUCUUCCGCAAUGGGCGAAAGCCUGACGGAGCAACGCCGCGUGAGUGAUGAAGGUCUUCGGAUCGUAAAACUCUGUUAUUAGGGAAGAACAUAUGUGUAAGUAACUGUGCACAUCUUGACGGUACCUAAUCAGAAAGACACGGCUAACUACGUG